GUCACAAGAUCGCCCUUUGUCCCCAGCAUUCCGUUCCUGAUGAUGUUGGUGAUGUGUUCAGAGUCAUGAGUGCUCCAAGGAGGAUGUUGGGUCGUCAAGGCUGGGAGCAGGGGGUGGAGGACAAAGGAUUUCACACGUGAGAAAGCAAUCUUCAAACAAACAACCCAAUUAACAGACUCCAUCCUCCAAGCUGGCCCUGGCCUCAGGGUUUCUCAAGACGGACCUCCACUGCCCAGGCUUAGCCCCCAGAGAGAAAUUCUCUCCCAGAGACCAGCCCACCUGGAUCGAGAGGCCUCCACAUCUGCCUUCUCGUCCCCCCAGCCUUGAGGACAGUCUGAGCCCGACCGGUGGCUGUCCCAGGACCUACAGAUUGUCUCAGGCGCCUAGAGUGAACCAAGAUGGCGGCCCCCGUUGAUCUGGAGUUGAAGAAGGGGUCGACUAGGAUGGCAUGCAGCUUGGCCCUACUCUUCUCUCUUCCCCCAUCUGAAAUGCACACAUGAGUCUGGAGCUGCGGCAGCCGUGGGACCAGAUGCCACAGGUCACAGAUGGUGGAGUAAAACAACAGUUGGAAUCGGAGACAUCGAUGACGCUGUGGAGUCCCUGCACCGCCCCUGGAUGGUCUGCCUCUGCGCUCAUCAGCAUGUGAAGAGGACCGUCUCCGACUUGACUAGACCAAGGUCUCGGCGAUUCUAUUACAUGUGGCCAAUUGCAAUUCUGAUCCAGAAGGCAGCUGAAGCCAAGGACUCCAUGAAACUGCCUAGGGAGAGAGCAGAGAUUGAGAAGGGAGGAGGGUGUGGACAGACGCUCUGGGGGCUGUCGGCCUUUGAUGGAUGGAGAGGGGAGUCUGAGCCUCCCCUGGCAGGGAAACCGAGGGGAGACAACCGGAGAGGUAGAGAAGGGGAACCUUGCCAAAGUGGGCCACGCAUUUGCCUCUAAGCUUUCCAGCAGGCAGUGAGAAAAAGGAAACCCAGUCUGUUCUUACCAUGAGAUACAAAGACCAGUGGUUGAGUAGGAGGGUCAGUAACGCUGGGCUGGAGACCAGAUGAGCAUUCCCCCAAGGGUCUUCGCACAGUGGACACUUUGUCACUCAGUCCAAAGGUCCUCAGCAACAACAUCCUAACAACAGACGAAGUCAUGUGCUUUCAGGGUUUCUUACCACAUCCGUCCAUGUGAGCCGAUGGGAUCACCAUCAAAGAGGAAGCAAAUUCUAGGGAGGGCCCAGUAUAUGUGGCCCAGACCCCAGCUCUCUGUACCUCUACCUUGUUUAAGGGACAUAUUUGAGUCUAUCAGGAGGAGGCCAUGAGCCACAAUCUCUUUCCAGCAAAAGUCCCUAAAUAUUGUUCCUCUCACUGGGGCUUUUAAACAACAUUGGUGGCCUUGAGGCCAACCCUACUCUCUCAGCCAAGCGUCCGGGUGCAGGGCUUCUCUCCAGAAAAUAUAGACCCACCCACGCUGGAGUUGACCCCUUAUGAAAUGAAGUUGCCUGAAAAGGGAGAGUCUUAAAUGCCCAACAAAGGAACCAUCUGGUUAAUCUGAGCAAAAGCAGGAAUUCCUCAGGAAGAAAAGAAGAUACCAGAAUUGAUUUUCAACUGGCAUAAAGAUCCAGGCUCUGCCUGAUUGCCUCCAGGGUUGUGAGGCUCACUACCAUUCAAGGCAGCUCAUUUCUUCCUAUCAACAGCUCUGAACAGAGAAGAAUCUUCCUUAUAUUGAACCCUGAUGUUUUCAUCAUCACUGGAAAUGUUAAUAGAUUGCAUGGUGCAAAGGAGUUCCUUUAUUGGGCUAGAACGGGGUGCUGGGCAGUGGGAGGGUCAUGGCACACAGGGGUCUGAUACACACAGGAGGUUCUCUGACGCUCAUCCUUGGAUGGACUGUGUUCCACCUAAACGCUCCUGGGCACGUCGCCAGGCCAAUAACUUAUUAGAGCGAUAAUACCAUUCCCAAAGAUGGACGGUCUACAGAAUUUCAUUGAUGCCAUCUCCUCUUCUCCUGUCCUACAAAUCAACUGAACUAAGGCUUGAACUAAACUUGAACUAAGGCUGAAUUUGAACUUGAGCUUGAAGGGACAACAACUCAGACAUAGACAUUUUCCAUUUCUCUUUUGGUGUCACCGUGAACAUAAAUUGCUAGGGGUUUGGAACCAGGAGGAGACCCAACUCUCUGCCUUCUGUCCAAGAUAAGCAGGCCUUGGUCCGGUGGUCCCUACUGUGGAGGGGGGAGAGGGGAGAGCCCUGGACUGUGGGGCCUGUGAAGGGAGGACAGUGCUGUGGGAGAGGCCUCCCGAGAAGACGCAUCCUGCAUCCCUGUUAUCUCCCGGCAUCCUCUGUUGACGUCCUUCGUUCCAGCGUCUCCUCUGUGACAGGUGGCACUAUUCUUGGUUAUGCUCUGGGGUGUGCAGGCAAUGGAGUGGACACCACCUCGCCCUCAUGGUGUGCCAACCACAAGGGGACCCUUCAAAGCUGAACAGAGCUUCAGUCUGCAACACAUUUUUAUAUCCAUUGCCUUCUUUGAUUCUUAUAACAACCCAGUGAGGAUGGGAAAACUGAGUCAGUGGCAGAGCUGGGACCCAUAUCUGGGAGCAACUCUCUGCCAUUCUCACCAUGCGAGGACACCUCCCGUGGGCCCUGGGUCACUCCUGCUGGGUCAGGGCUGGGCCUUGGUCAGCAAUGGCCUACACUUAGAUUUCUACCUCCUUUCUCACUUUUCCUCUCCCUCUCAACUACCUCUCUCCACAUCCUUUAUUCUUCCAUAUUCCUACCUCUUUAUUCUCUCUUCUUUUCUCCUUCUUAUCAGCCAAGGUUCCCACAGACAAUGCUUGGCCCUCAGGGAGCCACACUAGGCCUGAGGGACUAGAACCCCUUGGUGUCUACAACCACAACCAUGAGUGUCCGCCUGGUGUUGCGUCCUCCUGAUCAGCAGGUCCCGGGUUGGGCAGCUGACCCAUGCAUACCAGGAGAAGCCAUGGGGGAGGAGGCCUGGAAUGGCUCUAGGCCAGAAGCCAGGAGACCUGAGCUCACAUGACAGCUCAGCCAAUUAUAACCUUACGCACAUUACUGUCCCACUCAGGACCUCAGUUUUUUCAUCAGUAAAGUGAGAUAAUAAUACCUACCUCCCAGGGCAGGAGGGUUAGGAAAAUUGAUGUCAUAGUGCCAGGCAUGUAUGAGAUGUUUAAUAAAGAUUGGUGGAAAGCGGUAGCAGCUGGAACACAGAACCCUCCCAAGGGUUGGACUUGAAAACAUCAAUCUCUGUGCUGGAGCAAUAAAAGGCAGGAGGCAGCUGAAGCAUUGGCAGAGGUGGAAGGGAAUGGAGGAAGGGUGUCACUGGGCAGAGGCUGUUCAUUGUUUUUUCCCCUGGGCAUCGCGGGCUCCGGUACUCUGGAUCCAGCCACUGAACUCAAUUAAUGCUUGUCUCUUUAUGUUGUUGAUAAAAUCAUCUUGUAACAUUCCAGAUGCCUAAUAAGGGUGUGUGCAGCUACUGGGCAGUGAGUCCUGGAAUCUCCCCGCCUUCAGCACACCUUGGUAGUAAUGGUGAUUUUUAAAAGCUGGGAAGCCCAGAGUGAAUUCUCCCAAAACAGACUUGGUCAGUCCCAACGUCAGCAGAGAUUCAGAGCCCAACCUGCAGUGGUUCCAGAAAGAGAAGCCAAUGACAACACACAGUGGGGGUGCAGCAGGGAGACCCAAAGCGCAGGAGGAACCCAGGACCCAGGACAAGGAAGACCCAGUUUUGCCCAGGGAAAGUCAAAGAAACUUCCAGAGCUGGAAACGUGGAAAAUAGAAAUGGAUGGACUUUCAGUUAAGCAUGCAAACGGAACCUACCCAGUUGUCUCCUCUCCCUCCUGGGAUCCCACUGAGACAUAGGAAAGGAAUUGAAAUGGUGUAAACCCACAUCACAGGGAAAGGGAGAGGAUUCUCAGAGGGCUGGAGAUUUCAGCAAGUUUAUGGAACAGAACAGUGGGAGGUAGGUGAGGAAGAGGAAGCCAAAGCCGGCGUGAGAAGAGAGAUCCCAUUUUCUUAACAGAGCCCUAGAAAGGCUUGAAAAUCGGUUACACCAGGUACAGCGCAGGACAGGUGGGAGAUGUGUGCGUAACACCAGGGCAUUAUGUGAAAGCUGGUCUGUGGAACGGCUGCCGCUGCUUCCAUCCCCAGGAAAACAAACAAGUCAUUUAAAGAAACUACAAGGUAGGUCCUAGAGAAAACAACCCUCACAAACACUCGGGCUUGCAGAGGUUCACAGUGUAACACUCAACUUGCUGCCUCAGACCCUAAAAUGAAGCUCGCCAGGCAACAGCGCUUGCCCGUGUGCACAAAGCUGCCAACAUUGGUUACUUUUACUGCCUCACUUUUAAAAUACAAACCGAUAACCAAGGAUUUAAGGGAAGCAAGCGACAAACAACAACAAAAAUCUCAGAGAAAACAGAUAUAGCUCAGAAAGUAGAAAGGAACUUUAAAGACUACAAAAUUUUAAACUCUAGUAUCCUAAGAAAAAUCCAAAACAGACUGCAUCCAUAAAACAAGAAUAAGAGUCUAUAAAAAGGAACAGUUAAAGAAUAGGGGUUACAGAAAUUUAAAACACAAUUGCAGAAAUUAAAAUUUUAAUUAGAUUGCUGGAAGAUAGAGUUGAGGAGUCUCCAGAAAGUAGGAAAGAGAAAUUAAAAAGACAAGAGAAAAGAGAAGACAAAAAGGAUUAAAGGAAAGGAGA
Molecule: long non-coding RNA, 4695 nt
Organism: Equus caballus (horse)
Lineage: Eukaryota; Metazoa; Chordata; Mammalia; Perissodactyla; Equidae
Source: RefSeq, a predicted model, not a curated record